GACUGAGUGAGGAUCCCAGGAUUACUGACUGAGUGAGGUUGCCAGGAUUACUGACUGAGUGAGGUUGCCAGGAUUACUGACUGAGUGAGGUUCCCAGGAUUACUGACUGAGUGAGGCUCCCAGGAUUACUGACUGAGUGAGGCUCCCAGGAUUACUGACUGAGUGAGGAUCCCAGGGAUUACUGACAGAGUGAGGUUCCCAGGAUUACUGACUGAGUGAGGUUGCCAGGGAUUACUGACUGAGUGAGGCUCCCAGGGAUUACUGACAGAGUGAGGUUCCCAGGAUUACUGACUGAGUGAGGAUCCCAGGAUUACUGACUGAGUGAGGCUCCCAGGAUUACUGACUGAGUGAGGCUCCCAGGAUUACUGACUGAGUGAGGAUCCCAGGCUGUGCUGUGUAAGGAAGACUUUGCCCCUGGAACAGAAUCCAGAGAAUUGAA
RNAcentral lists this long non-coding RNA (439 nucleotides) under Pelobates cultripes (western spadefoot toad). Lineage: Eukaryota; Metazoa; Chordata; Amphibia; Anura; Pelobatidae. The record is from RNAcentral.